RNAcentral lists this ribosomal RNA (253 nucleotides) under uncultured bacterium. RNAcentral's name for it is "partial 16S ribosomal RNA". It matches the Rfam family "Bacterial small subunit ribosomal RNA", at positions 524 to 776 of the family's 1533-position model. The record is from RNAcentral.
UACGUAGGCAGCGAGCGUUGUUCGGAUUUACUGGGCGUAAAGGGUGCGUAGGCGGUUGUUUAGGUUUGGUGUGAAAUCUCCCGGCUCAACUUGGAGGGUGCGCCGAAUACUGAAUGACUAGAGUGCGGGAGAGGAGAGUGGAAUUCCUGGUGUAGCGGUGAAAUGCGUAGAUAUCAGGAGGAACACCGGUGGUGUAGACGGCUCUCUGGACCGGAACUGACGCUGAGGCACGAAAGCGUGGGGAGCAAACAGG